AGAACGAACGCUGGCGGCAUGCCUAACACAUGCAAGUCGAACGCUUCCGGGGCUUCGGUCGCGGAGGAGUGGCGCACGGGUGAGUAGCGCGUGGGAACCUGCCCUGUUGUGGGGGAUAACCGAGGGAAACUUCGGCUAAUACCGCAUACGCCCCGGGACUUGGUCUUCGGAUUAGGUCUGGGGGGAAAGAUUGAUCGCAGCAGGAGGGGCCCGCGUUGGAUUAGCUGGUUGGUGGGGUAACGGCUCACCAAGGCGAUGAUCCGUAGCUGGUCUGAGAGGAUGAUCAGCCACACUGGGACUGAGACACGGCCCAGACUCCUACGGGAGGCAGCAGUGGGGAAUAUUGGACAAUGGGGGCAACCCUGAUCCAGCAAUGCCGCGUGAGUGAUGAAGGCCUUAGGGUUGUAAAGCUCUUUCGCCCGCGACGAUGAUGACGGUAGCGGGAGAAGAAGCCCCGGCUAACUUCGCGCCAGCAGCCGCGGU
RNAcentral lists this ribosomal RNA (483 nucleotides) under uncultured bacterium. Its description in RNAcentral is "SSU rRNA". It matches the Rfam family "Bacterial small subunit ribosomal RNA", at positions 26 to 521 of the family's 1533-position model. The record is from RNAcentral.